This 547-nucleotide long non-coding RNA is filed under the name Malus domestica (apple). RNAcentral's name for it is "long non-coding RNA (MDOM_LNC018414)". Lineage: Eukaryota; Viridiplantae; Streptophyta; Magnoliopsida; Rosales; Rosaceae. The record is from RNAcentral.
GUUGAUCCUUGAAUGGAAGGUGAUACUUAACGUAUCCGGCAAUGGUUUAAAUUCUAAUGUAGGUGCCUGAAUCAUCAAAAUCAGCAAGUAAGUAUAUAAUAAAAUCAAAGUUGGAGAAGAUAGCUUACUUGCUUGCUCCAACACAAACUCAUUUACGAACACCACAUCUUUGAAGGUUGCAGGGAUAUGAGACUUGGCCAAAUUUGGUGUUUUGAGAGUUAUGACUUGUCCCGUGUCAUAAAAUCCAACUUCUUUGAGAAUUUUCGUCUCAAGUGUAUGAUAGGAGCAUAUUUAUGCGACUUAGUUGGCUUGUUCUUAAGUAUUUAUGUUGUUUUUCUUUAGUUAUUUUAGUGUUUAAAGUCAUUUUCGUGCAAUUUCAGGUUUAGAGACGAAGUAUGCAAAGAAGUGCAAAAUGGAGCAUUUUAGAGCAAAAUUGAGCUAGAAUGGAGUGUAUGCUAAUGGAGCACAAGGAAUUGACGAGUUUGAAGGUCAAAGGAGCUUAAGAAAUGAAGAAAUGAAAGUGAAGAACAAAGAAUUCAGAUUUGGA